UUACGACCACAUCAUGUUGAAACACCGGUUGCCGAGCGAUCACAGAAGUUAAGCAAAGUCGAGCCUGGUCAGUACCGACAUGGAUGACCGCUUGAGAAUAGCAGGUCUUGUAAG
Molecule: non-coding RNA, 114 nt
Organism: Acanthosepion pharaonis
Lineage: Eukaryota; Metazoa; Mollusca; Cephalopoda; Sepiida; Sepiidae
Source: the annotation of a GenBank genome assembly